Molecule: transfer RNA, 63 nt
Filed under: Homalogaster paloniae
Lineage: Eukaryota; Metazoa; Platyhelminthes; Trematoda; Gastrodiscidae
Description: tRNA-Tyr
Source: RNAcentral
AUCAGUUUAGUAUAGGUAAGUAUGUGAGAUUGUAAAUUUCAAGGUGAUGAGGAUCAGCUGAGA